RNAcentral lists this small nucleolar RNA (84 nucleotides) under Castor canadensis (American beaver). Its description in RNAcentral is "Small nucleolar RNA SNORD45 (ENSCCNG00000019242.1)". It matches the Rfam family "Small nucleolar RNA SNORD45". From Rfam's summary of the family: U45 belongs to the C/D class of snoRNA which contain the C (UGAUGA) and D (CUGA) box motifs. Most of the members of the box C/D family function in directing site-specific 2'-O-methylation of substrate RNAs. Lineage: Eukaryota; Metazoa; Chordata; Mammalia; Rodentia; Castoridae. The record is from Rfam by way of RNAcentral.
CAUCAGUGAUGUGUUCACAUGUAUUACCUGAAUUUACUGCUGAUGUAUAGUAACACUUGACCUCUAGAAUUAUGCUGAGACCUU